AUUGAACGCUGGCGGCAUGCUUUACACAUGCAAGUCGAACGGUAACAGGCCUUCGGGUGCUGACGAGUGGCGAACGGGUGAGUAAUGCAUCGGAACGUGCCCAGAGGUGGGGGAUAACGCAGCGAAAGCUGUGCUAAUACCGCAUGUGAUCUGAGGAUGAAAGCGGGGGACCAGGCAGCAAUGUUUGGCCUCGCGCCUUUGGAGCGGCCGAUGUCAGAUUAGGUAGUUGGUGGGGUAAAGGCCUACCAAGCCGACGAUGUGUAGCUGGUCUGAGAGAACGACCAGCCACACUGAAACUGCGACACGGCCCAGACUCCUACGGGAGGCAGCAGAGGGGAAUUUUGGACAAUGGGCACAAGCCUACUCCAGCAAUGCCGCGUGCGGGAAGAAGGCCUUCGGGUUGUAAACCGCUUUUGUACGGAACGAAAAGGCUCUGGCUAAUACCUGGGGCUGAUGACGGUACCGUAAGAAUAAGCACCGGCUAACUACGUG
RNAcentral lists this ribosomal RNA (492 nucleotides) under uncultured bacterium. RNAcentral's name for it is "partial 16S ribosomal RNA". It matches the Rfam family "Bacterial small subunit ribosomal RNA", at positions 30 to 507 of the family's 1533-position model. The record is from RNAcentral.